UCGCCAGGGUUUCCCAGUCACGACGCAUAUCAAUAAGCGGAGGAAAAGAAACCAACAGGGAUUGCCUCAGUAACGGCGAGUGAAGCGGCAAGAGCUCAAAUUUGAAAGCUGGCUCCUUCGGGGUCCGCAUUGUAAUUUGCAGAGGAUGCUUCGGGAGCGGCCCCCAUCUAAGUGCCCUGGAACGGGCCGUCAUAGAGGGUGAGAAUCCCGUCUGGGAUGGGGUGCCCGCGCCCGUGUGAAGCUCCUUCGACGAGUCGAGUUGUUUGGGAAUGCAGCUCUAAAUGGGUGGUAAAUUUCAUCUAAAGCUAAAUACUGGCCGGAGACCGAUAGCGCACAAGUAGAGUGAUCGAAAGAUGAAAAGCACUUUGAAAAGAGAGUUAAACAGCACGUGAAAUUGUUGAAAGGGAAGCGCUUGCGACCAGACUCGCUCGCGGGGUUCAGCCGGCCUUCGGGCCGGUGUACUUCCCCGCGGGCGGGCCAGCGUCGGUUUGGGCGGCCGGUCAAAGGCCCUCGGAAUGUAACGCCCCCCGGGGCGUCUUAUAGCCGAGGGUGCCAUGCGGCCAGCCCGGACCGAGGAACGCGCUUCGGCUCGGACGCUGGCAUAAUGGUCGUAAGCACCCUCUAC
RNAcentral lists this ribosomal RNA (625 nucleotides) under Penicillium janthinellum. RNAcentral describes it as "eukaryotic LSU rRNA". It matches the Rfam family "Eukaryotic large subunit ribosomal RNA", at positions 16 to 654 of the family's 3401-position model. Lineage: Eukaryota; Fungi; Ascomycota; Eurotiomycetes; Eurotiales; Aspergillaceae. The record is from RNAcentral.